GACCGUACCGCAAACCGACACUGGUGCGCGAGAUGAGUAUUCUAAGGCGCUUGAGAGAACUCUGGAGAAGGAACUCGGCAAAUUGACACCGUAACUUCGGAAGAAGGUGUGCCUUUAGUAGGUGAAGCCCCCGCGGGUGGAGCCCAAUGAGGUCGCAGAGAAUCGGUGGCUGCAACUGUUUAAUAAAAACACAGCACUCUGCAAAGACGAAAGUCGACGUAUAGGGUGUGACGCCUGCCCGGUGCUGGAAGAUUAAUUGAUGGGGUGCAAGCUCUUGAUCGAAGUCCCAGUAAACGGCGGCCGUAACUAUAACGGUCCUAAGGUAGCGAAAUUCCUUGUCGGGUAAGUUCCGACCUGCACGAAUGGCGUAAUGAUGGCCACACUGUCUCCUCCAGAGACUCAGCGAAGUUGAAAUGUUUGUGAUGAUGCAAUCUCCCCGCGGAAAGACGGAAAGACCCCAUGAACCUUUACUGUAGCUUUACAUUGGACUUUGAACAGAUCUGUGUAGGAUAGGUGGGAGGCUUUGAAGCCAGGACGCUAGUUCUGGUGGAGCCGACGUUGAAAUACCACCCUGGUGUGUUUGAGGUUCUAACCUUGGCCCGUUAUCCGGGUUGGGGACAGUGUAUGGUGGGCAGUUUGACUGGGGCGGUCUCCUCCCAAAGUGUAACGGAGGAGUUCGAAGGUACGCUAGAUACGGUCGGAAAUCGUGUUGAUAGUGCAUUGGCAUAAGCGUGCUUGACUGCGAGACUGACAAGUCGAGCAGGUACGAAAGUAGGACA
RNAcentral lists this ribosomal RNA (779 nucleotides) under marine sediment metagenome. RNAcentral's name for it is "LSU rRNA". It matches the Rfam family "Bacterial large subunit ribosomal RNA", at positions 1640 to 2412 of the family's 2925-position model. The record is from RNAcentral.